UGACUGAGCUCUAAUGGGAUACUCUUAAUACUUCAGUAACUAACUGCUUGUCUUUUGAUUUCUCCUAAACAGGAAGUUCCUUGAGGACCUUGAGGACCUUGAACUUAUCUCUGUUAACAUCUUCUCCCUAACUUCGUAUUCCGCAACACAAGCACGUGGAAGAUAAACUAAAUUGCCUACGAAGACUGUCAGCUCACAAGAAAGCCUAUUCUCCUAAGACUUCUCGACCCACUCUGCAGGAUAUUAAAGGAAAAAUUCCUCCAAGAUAAACACUUCGUCUUUGAAUAAAGCAUUAUGCUUAUCUCA
Molecule: long non-coding RNA, 306 nt
Filed under: Felis catus (domestic cat)
Lineage: Eukaryota; Metazoa; Chordata; Mammalia; Carnivora; Felidae
Description: lncRNA (ENSFCAG00000041105.2)
Source: RNAcentral